CAGUCGCCGCGGUAAUACGGAGGGAGCUAGCGUUGUUCGGAAUUACUGGGCGUAAAGCGCGCGUAGGCGGUUACUCAAGUCAGAGGUGAAAGCCCGGGGCUCAACCCCGGAACUGCCUUUGAAACUAGGUGACUAGAAACUUGGAGAGGUCAGUGGAAUUCCGAGUGUAGAGGUGAAAUUCGUAGAUAUUCGGAAGAACACCAGUGGCGAAGGCGACUGACUGGACAAGUAUUGACGCUGAGGUGCGAAAGCGUGGGGAGCAAACAGGAUUAGAUACCCGAGUAGUCCCUGUCUCUUAUAC
This 301-nucleotide ribosomal RNA is filed under the name uncultured bacterium. Its description in RNAcentral is "partial 16S ribosomal RNA". It matches the Rfam family "Bacterial small subunit ribosomal RNA", at positions 509 to 807 of the family's 1533-position model. The record is from RNAcentral.